UUUUUUUUUUUUUUUUUUUACAAAACCACACUGUCGGGAGUUUCCAUUGUGGCGCAGCAGAAAUGAAUCCAACUAGGAACCAUGAGUUUGCAGGUUCGAUCCCUGGCCUCGCUCAGUGGGUUAAGGCUCUGGGAUCAAACCUGCGUCCUCAUGGAUGCUGGUCAGAUUCAUUUCCACUGAGCCACGAUGGUAUCUCCUGAAUAAUUUCCUAAAAGAUAACUAACAUUCAAAGCUAAAUUCAAAGCUUUCAACUGAAAGCUUUCUGCAAAAUUCUAUAGUAGCCACCCCCAUCACUAUGCUAUCGAGUAGACUAUGCUGUUUUCCACUCAAAAUCUAGAAUGUCAUUUAGUAUUUCAUAAAUGCAUUGUUUUCCUCAGCAAACACCAUGAAAAUAACCUAAUAAAACCUGAAAGCAUUUAUUUUAUAUAAGCAAUCAAAGAACUAGAAAAGUCUAUUUAUCUGGUGUUAACGAGAUGAACUUAAAAUUGGAUUGCUUUGUUUAAACUAUCAGUGUUCUUAACAGUGCUGUAGAAUGUGAAGACAUGAUUUUACCUAAAAAAUCUCUUUGGUUUUGCAAAAAGUCAAACUACAGAACUAAAGAGAUAUAUGAGUAAACUCUUAUACAUCAUAUUAGUAGUUUUUAUUUCUAUGAAGAAUGACAUUGAUUCACACAGAGCUUGAUAUCAUAAAAAAAAAACUCAUUUUCAAAAUAUAGACGAUUGGAAGAGAUAGAAGACAAAAAAACCGAGGCUCAAAUUUAACGUAAUAAUUUUUUCACAUCAUCCGACCACUAGUUAAAAAGAAAUUACCAGCCUGUGGAAUAUAAACAACCAAAGCUAAGUAUGUGAAAUACAAAGCCAAAUGUAAACAAUGGGGAAAAAAGUCUGCCAGAGUUUUAUACAGUGUCUUUUCUAAUCCCGUAUUUUUACUAAUACAAAACAUAUCAGUUUAGAAAGUACAAUCUUAACGUUCUUUAAAGUUUAUUAUAAGGGAUUGCCCCCAAGAUCAAAAGCAGCACUGUACAAAACCAACAUGAUGUAACUGCACAAAAAUUUGCUGCUGCUCAAUUUCUACAUCAAAUGAAUGUCUAAAUAAAGAAAAUUGAAAUAUAUGUUUAAUACAAAGUAUUUGUGCAUGUGCAUAUUUAAAGUUGUCACUAUCUUUACUCAAUUUAUUUUCAAAGUAUUUGAUUGAAAAUCCUAAACUUUGUGAAAGAAAUUUCUGAUUUUUUUUUGGUUUUGUAUCUGUAACUUGAAUAAACCCAAAAGCUACAAAUAUAUCAUAACCAACAUUCUAAAAUUGAUGUCAAGUUCCAAAAAAAAAAAACUUCUGAACUAUCUUCCUUAUAAAAUUUUUUAAAUUUUGCUAUGAAGUAAGAAGUGUGGUUUAAAAAUGCAGUCAGCUAAUAUAUUAUAGUUGUCCCUACUCAAUGAGGGGAAACUGAAUAAAGAAUUAAAAAAUAGAAAAUAAUUUGUGAGGUAUAUGAUUCCACAUUAUAAAAGAUUCUCUUUCAUGUGGACUAUAAAUAAAAAGCAGAGAAAGGAAAAUCUAACCCAAAUAUUUUUAGAAGUUAGAUUUUUCAAUUCAAACAACAGUAGUUAGAGUUCUCUGAUAGCUCUUAUUUUAAAUUAUGAGAGGCCAGUGAACUUCUGAAAACUAAAGCAUAAAGUUUUAAGCACACAGUUUAUAACCAUUUUUUGGACAGAACUCCUAAACUUUAUUUAACCUUGGGAGACAGAUAUAUAAAUAUAUAGAUAUACAGACAUAUAGUUAUAGACAUGGAGAGACACAGAUUGUGUGUGUGUUGCAUCUGGUAACCUUUUUAACUUCAUAUAGCAAGUCACUGAUUUGAUCUUUCCUUCUUACCUGCCAUGAAGAUGAAAGCUGCCUAACCUGUAGAAGGCAAGCACAGCUGAUCUGAUGCAAAGUUAACCACCAAAUCAACAGGAGAAGCCAAAAUCUGACAAUUCCUAACUUCAAAAAAAUUUUCUCUUCCUUUCAGUACCCAUGACUCUUUUACAUGAAAACAAUGAUCAACUUUGUAUCAUUUAUACAGUAAACAAUUUCAAAUUCCUUGCCAGAUUUAAUUCACUGUUCUGUCACUCAACAGUAACAAUGAGUUGGGAACCCACUAAGAUCCACAGACUGUACUCGGCUUUUUACAAACAUUAUUCCCCACGAUACACCUGCAAGGUAGUUGCAUCCCCAUUUUACAGAUAAGAAAACUAAGUGUCAGAAGGGUUAAAUCACUUGACCAAGACCAAAUUACUAAAAGGUGGAGCCAGAUUCUAAUCUAGGUGCAUUAGGCCAAUUUAAGGGCUGUUUGAUAUUCCCACCAUUCUAUACACUCUUUAUACUAACCUUGUUCAUGGGUUAAAAAAUUAUCUCCUGCUAUCUGUUUUUUCCAGAAAUUUGUAUUUGGGAUUGAGGAAUAAAAUACAUUUCCAGGAGUCAUUUUUACAAAUAUCAAAAUACAAUUUUCUCAAAUUCUUCUUGGCUUAACUUUUAAUAUUUAAAAUAUGCAUAUUAAAAGUUACAUUAAUGAUUAAGACUUAAAGGUUUGCACUGAUCACUGCAGUUUCCUACAGCAUUGAAGAUUCUAAACAGAGCAAAGAUCCGAAAGUUGGAAUAUUAUAUUGGUAAAAAAAUUGCCAAACAUUAUCUCCGUUUACUAAGUAUAAACACACCAAUUUUCUAAGAAAAUACGACGUGAAGCUCGGAACUGCUUAGUUCUAUUAUAAUCCUUCAUUCUAAAUACUAGAACCAAUCAGAAAAUAUAUCCAUAUAUUUUCUUCACAACCAGAGAAUAGUAUUUUACAAUCUGUCUGAUAUUAUUUCACUCUUGAAAUGUUUUUUCACUGGGAAUCGAAUUCUAACCUGGCAAUUUUUCACCAGCACACUGAGAUACCUUCCCACUGUUUUCUGACUUCAAUUUCUGUUCCUGAGCUGUCAGUGUAACUGCCAGGCUAUUUUAAAGGUAAUCUGUCUUUUGUUCGCUGCCAACUUUUUAAGAUGUCCUCUUUGUUGCUGGCUCUCUCUGUACCACUAUGAUGUGUCUAGAUGUUUAUUUCCUUUUAGCUAUUCUGCUUGUAUGUCUCUGAACUUACUCAAUUUGUGGACUGGAAUUUUUCAUUAGUUCUGGAAAAUCCUUAGCUAUUAUAUCUUCAAACAUUGCCUCUCCCAUCAUUUCCCUCUUCUACAAUUAGAAAACUAAAUACUGUUAGACCUUCUCAUUCUGUGUUCUAUACAUCUUAAUCCCUUUCUUUUUACCCAUUUCCUUGUCUUUCUGUGCUACAUUCUGAGUAAUUUCUAUGUUCAGUUCAUUAAUUUCAUUAAUUGUCUUUAGUUGUAUUUAAUCUACUAUUAAGUAUACCUACUGAAUUUUUGUUAUAAUUUGUAUUUUUUAUUUCUAGAAGUCUUGUUCAAGUCUUUUUCAAAUCUACUAAAUGUCUCAUCCCCUGCAGGUAGUCCAUCUUUUUGUAAACAUAAUAAACAGCUGCUUAAUAAUUGCUGUCUGGUAAUUCCAAAAUCUGAAGUUUCUGAGGGUCUACUUCUGUUAACUCUUGCUACUGCUUCUCAUUCAUGGGGAUUUGUUUCCAUGAGCGGUUCAUUAUAUUCUAUUGUGAUCUAUUUCUUGGGAAAAGGAUUUGGGGGAAUUCCCUAGGACGAAAGGUAAAAUGUAUUCUACCUGAGAGGACUUUCAUUUGCUUCUCCCAGGAAUCUAGAACCACUUAAAAUUCACAACUUAAGAUAAGGUUUGUAGCACCCAGGUGACACUGAAUAUGGGCUGCAAAUCAACAAGAGGAAUAGGGAUCUUUUUCAGGCCCAAGAAAACAAUUCUUGCAUCCUCCUGUGAGCAAGAGCAUGUGAAGGAUUUUAACCUUGGUUUAAACAUAUUCUAUAGACAUAGCUCUUUGGAGUCUCAGUUUUUUUAAGUAAGGAAUUUCCUAUUAGACUCCUCCUUGGAGUUCUCCUUAAAGUCCUCCUUAAUUUCUAUACCUUGUGAGCCCUUCAAGACCAAAGUAAAAGUUCCCUAGAAUAUGGCAAAUAUCCUCAAAGGAAACGCAGUUUUAAUAUUCUGCUUACUUUCCUGAAUUCCUACUUUCAUGUAGAUUUUGGCCUGUUGAUGUCUUAUUGUCAUGUUAGCUCUUAAGAGGUGAAAAAAAAAUUUUUUUCUAGUAUUUCUUUUCAAGGAGUUACUCUGUCCAUAUAACCUAGUUGACUAUAUUAUCCUAUUUUCAAUUUUAAAAGGUUGCUUAUUUUUAUACUUCAAUCACUAAAAGUUUCAUUUUGUGGGGGAGUGUAACACUGACAAUAAGAAACAAUUUGUUUUUAUUCACCUUGAUUUUCUGGAACUGUUUACAACAAAAAUUUUCCAAACCCCAAAACAUAUCAAUUCCUUUAUAUCCUAAAACAAUUAGAGAUGGACAAGAUUCUGAAAUUAAUGCCCAAAACAGACGUCUUUUUAACUAAGGAAUUUAUUAGUCUACGAAUUUUUCCCUACUAGAAACAGGCAUAAUAUACAAAAAUUCUAUAUCUGACAAACUCCUAGAAGAUGACCAGAAUUUUAAGAAGAUAACAAAUAAGGGAGAACUAAAUUCAACUUUGUUUCUGCCAGAGUUCCCUUCGUGGCUCGGCAGUUAAUGAACCUAACUAGGAUCCAUGAGAAUGAAGGUUCAAUCCCUGGCCUUGCUCAGUGACUGAGGAUCUGCUGUUGCUGUGAGCUGUGGUGUAGGUCACAGACAUGGGCUGUGAUCUGGUGUUGCUGUGGCUGUGGCAUAGGCCGACAGCUGUGGCUCCUAUUUGACCUCUAGCCUAGGAACUUCCAUAUACUGCAGGUUCAGCCCUAAAAAAAGCAAAAAAAAAACCCAAAAAAAACCCAAAAAAAAUUGUUUUUGCCAAGAAAGAAAAUCAUAAAGAAAAAGACUAAUAUAUGGAACUACAUAAAAAUGUAAUAAUUCUUCAUAUGAAUUUUUUAGAAGUAUAAGCAAAAUUGAAAGACAAAAUUGAGGAUACUUACAAUAUAUGUAAUAGAGUCAAAAUCUAUAACAUACAAAAAGCUCUUCAAAAUCAUUAAGAAAAUAAACACCUCCCAAAAUGGACAAAGGACAUAAAUAGGCACUAAAGAAGUAAUAAAAGCAACCUAUCAACUUUUACCAUUAGGUUAACAAAAACCAAUGAUUUACAAUUCCUUCUGAUAGCAAGGUUACAGGCAAAUGUAAUUUAUACCCUGAAUUAAAAGUUGGGGUACAAAUUAAUAUUAUCUAUUAGGCAAGUUGGCAAUAGGUAUCAAAAAUCUAAAUUAUACAUACCCUUAAAUACAAUAAUCUCACUACUAGACAUAUAUUUAGGAAUAUAACAUCAAUGCAUGAGGACUUAUGAAAUACAAAAGUUAAAAAUAAAACACAAAACUAGUUAAAAAGGAGUUCUAGGCACACUUAAAACUUAAAAACUAAGAAACCAUACAAAUAAAAACAAAGAAAUAUAAUUAUUGUUUAAGAAUAGUAAUCAGUUACUUUUUAAAAUUCCACUUUAUAUUGUACUUUUUAAAAACUGAUCAUAUUAUUAUCAUGAUUCUUUGGAGACUGAAAGCCUAGACAAACUCAUCCAAUAAUUUCUAUAGUUUUUUGUUUGUUUGUUAGGUCUGUGUAGUGGAUUAAACAUGGUCACACAUUUCUGUCACUUUCUCCACCAGAAGAGUGAGUUUAAUUCUCUUCCCAUUGAAUGUGGAGUGACUGUCUAUUUAACAAAAAAAAUACAGCAGAAGUAACACUCAUCAAUUUUUAGCCUAAUCCUUAAGAGCACUGCCUGCUUCCACUUCCUACCUCUUAGAAUGUUUGUUCUUAGGACACUCAUUCUCAGAGUCCAUCAGUCAUACCCAGACUACAUGGAGAGGCCUCACAUCGAGUUCCCAUGACAGCAGGUAGCAUUAAAUGCCAACCAUGUUGAGUGAGCCAUCUUAGAAGUGGAAAGAAACUACAACCUCCAAUGAGCUGACACUAAGGGGCACAGAAAUAAACCUUCCCUAUCAAGUUGUAUACAAAGUAUAUAAAAACAUAAGCAACUAAAUAUUACUGUUGUUUUAAGCUAGUGAGGUUUGGAGUGACUUAUCACACAGCAGCUAAUAACUGGAA
RNAcentral lists this long non-coding RNA (6134 nucleotides) under Sus scrofa (pig). Its description in RNAcentral is "lncRNA (ENSSSCG00060035047.1)". Lineage: Eukaryota; Metazoa; Chordata; Mammalia; Artiodactyla; Suidae. The record is from RNAcentral.